GCGAAUACUUAAUUGGUAGAGUAUUAGCCUUCCAAGCUUUACAAUCUUGGUUCAAAUCCAAGAGGUCGUA
RNAcentral lists this transfer RNA (70 nucleotides) under Hyaloperonospora arabidopsidis Emoy2. It matches the Rfam family "tRNA". Rfam says of the family: Transfer RNA (tRNA) molecules are approximately 80 nucleotides in length. Lineage: Eukaryota; Oomycota; Peronosporomycetes; Peronosporales; Peronosporaceae. The record is from Rfam by way of RNAcentral.